GUGAAACACGAUGAGGGCUCUGGGUCCACCUCCCACCCGUGUCUAUCGUACCUUGUUGCUUCGGCGGGCCCGCCGUUUCGACGGCCGCCGGGGAGGCCUUGCGCCCCCGGGCCCGCGCCCGCCGAAGACCCCAACAUGAACGCUGUUCUGAAAGUAUGCAGUCUGAGUUGAUUAUCGUAAUCAGUUAAAACUUUCAACAACGGAUCUCUUGGUUCCGGCAUCGAUGAAGAACGCAGCGAAAUGCGAUAAGUAAUGUGAAUUGCAGAAUUCAGUGAAUCAUCGAGUCUUUGAACGCACAUUGCGCCCCCUGGUAUUCCGGGGGGCAUGCCUGUCCGAGCGUCAUUGCUGCCCUCAAGCACGGCUUGUGUGUUGGGCCCCCGUCCCCCUCUCCCGGGGGACGGGCCCGAAAGGCAGCGGCGGCACCGCGUCCGGUCCUCGAGCGUAUGGGGCUUUGUCACCUGCUCUGUAGGCCCGGCCGGCGCCAGCCGACACCCAACUUUAUUUUUCUAAGGUUGACCUCGGAUCAGGUAGGGAUACCCGCUGAACUUAAGCAUAUCAAA
Molecule: ribosomal RNA, 560 nt
Filed under: Aspergillus fumigatus
Lineage: Eukaryota; Fungi; Ascomycota; Eurotiomycetes; Eurotiales; Aspergillaceae
Description: partial 18S ribosomal RNA
Rfam family: 5.8S ribosomal RNA (bases 189-342)
Source: RNAcentral